RNAcentral lists this ribosomal RNA (1446 nucleotides) under Streptococcus thermophilus. Its description in RNAcentral is "bacterial SSU rRNA". It matches the Rfam family "Bacterial small subunit ribosomal RNA". Lineage: Bacteria; Bacillati; Bacillota; Bacilli; Lactobacillales; Streptococcaceae. The record is from RNAcentral.
GGGGCAAUGGCGCGNUGCUAUACAUGCAGUAGAACGCUGAAGAGAGGAGCUUGCUCUUCUUGGAUGAGUUGCGAACGGGUGAGUAACGCGUAGGUAACCUGCCUUGUAGCGGGGGAUAACUAUUGGAAACGAUAGCUAAUACCGCAUAACAAUGGAUGACACAUGUCAUUUAUUUGAAAGGGGCAAUUGCUCCACUACAAGAUGGACCUGCGUUGUAUUAGCUAGUAGGUGAGGUAAUGGCUCACCUAGGCGACGAUACAUAGCCGACCUGAGAGGGUGAUCGGCCACACUGGGACUGAGACACGGCCCAGACUCCUACGGGAGGCAGCAGUAGGGAAUCUUCGGCAAUGGGGGCAACCCUGACCGAGCAACGCCGCGUGAGUGAAGAAGGUUUUCGGAUCGUAAAGCUCUGUUGUAAGUCAAGAACGGGUGUGAGAGUGGAAAGUUCACACUGUGACGGUAGCUUACCAGAAAGGGACGGCUAACUACGUGCCAGCAGCCGCGGUAAUACGUAGGUCCCGAGCGUUGUCCGGAUUUAUUGGGCGUAAAGCGAGCGCAGGCGGUUUGAUAAGUCUGAAGUUAAAGGCUGUGGCUCAACCAUAGUUCGCUUUGGAAACUGUCAAACUUGAGUGCAGAAGGGGAGAGUGGAAUUCCAUGUGUAGCGGUGAAAUGCGUAGAUAUAUGGAGGAACACCGGUGGCGAAAGCGGCUCUCUGGUCUGUAACUGACGCUGAGGCUCGAAAGCGUGGGGAGCGAACAGGAUUAGAUACCCUGGUAGUCCACGCCGUAAACGAUGAGUGCUAGGUGUUGGAUCCUUUCCGGGAUUCAGUGCCGCAGCUAACGCAUUAAGCACUCCGCCUGGGGAGUACGACCGCAAGGUUGAAACUCAAAGGAAUUGACGGGGGCCCGCACAAGCGGUGGAGCAUGUGGUUUAAUUCGAAGCAACGCGAAGAACCUUACCAGGUCUUGACAUCCCGAUGCUAUUUCUAGAGAUAGAAAGUUACUUCGGUACAUCGGUGACAGGUGGUGCAUGGUUGUCGUCAGCUCGUGUCGUGAGAUGUUGGGUUAAGUCCCGCAACGAGCGCAACCCCUAUUGUUAGUUGCCAUCAUUCAGUUGGGCACUCUAGCGAGACUGCCGGUAAUAAACCGGAGGAAGGUGGGGAUGACGUCAAAUCAUCAUGCCCCUUAUGACCUGGGCUACACACGUGCUACAAUGGUUGGUACAACGAGUUGCGAGUCGGUGACGGCGAGCUAAUCUCUUAAAGCCAAUCUCAGUUCGGAUUGUAGGCUGCAACUCGCCUACAUGAAGUCGGAAUCGCUAGUAAUCGCGGAUCAGCACGCCGCGGUGAAUACGUUCCCGGGCCUUGUACACACCGCCCGUCACACCACGAGAGUUUGUAACACCCGAAGUCGGUGAGGUAACCUUUGGAGCCAGCCGCCUAAGUGG